UUGGAGGGCAAGUCUGGUGCCAGCAGCCGCGGUAAUUCCAGCUCCAAUAGCGUAUAUUAAAGUUGUUGCAGUUAAAAAGCUCGUAGUUGAAUUUCGGGAUCAAGGGAUCGGUCAUGCCUUGGUAUGUACUGGUCUUAUUGGUUCUCACCUUCUAAAGAACCAUGAUGUCAUUCAUUUGAUGUUAUGGGGAAUUGGGACUGUUACCUUGAAAAAAUUAGAGUGUUUAAAGCAAGCUUACGCUUGAAUACAUUAGCAUGGAAUAAUGAAAUAGGACAUCAGAUUCUAUUUUGUUGGUUUCUAGGAUCGAUGUAAUGAUUAAUAGGGAUAGUUGGGGGCAUUAGUAUUCAAUUGUCAGAGGUGAAAUUCUUGGAUUUAUUGAAGACUAACUACUGCGAAAGCAUUUGCCAAGGAUGUUUUCAUUAAUCAAGAACGAAAGUUAGGGGAUCGAAGACGAUCAGAUACCGUCGUAGUCUUAACCAUAAACUAUGCCGACUAGGGAUCGGAUGAUGUUAAUUUUUUAAUGACUCAUUCGGCGCCUUACGGGAAAC
Molecule: ribosomal RNA, 548 nt
Filed under: uncultured Funneliformis
Lineage: Eukaryota; Fungi; Glomeromycota; Glomeromycetes; Glomerales; Glomeraceae
Description: SSU rRNA
Rfam family: Eukaryotic small subunit ribosomal RNA
Source: RNAcentral